GAUGAACGCUGACAGAAUGCUUAACACAUGCAAGUCUACUUGAACUUCGGUUUGGGUGGCGGACGGGUGAGUAACGCGUAAAGAACUUACCUCACAGUUAGGGACAACAUUUGGAAACGAAUGCUAAUACCUGAUAUUAUGAUUUUAGGUCAUCCUAAGAUUAUGAAAGCUAUAUGCGCUGUGAGAGAGCUUUGCGUCCCAUUAGCUAGUUGGAGAGGUAACGGCUCACCAAGGCGAUGAUGGGUAGCCGGCCUGAGAGGGUGAACGGCCACAAGGGGACUGAGACACGGCCCUUACUCCUACGGGAGGCAGCAGUGGGGAAUAUUGGACAAUGGACCAAAAGUCUGAUCCAGCAAUUCUGUGUGCACGAUGACGUUUUUCGGAAUGUAAAGUGCUUUCAGUUGGGAAGAAAAAAAUGACGGUACCAACAGAAGAAGUGACGGCUAAAUACGUG
RNAcentral lists this ribosomal RNA (454 nucleotides) under uncultured bacterium. Its description in RNAcentral is "partial 16S ribosomal RNA". It matches the Rfam family "Bacterial small subunit ribosomal RNA", at positions 28 to 507 of the family's 1533-position model. The record is from RNAcentral.